UACGUAGAGGGCAAGCGUUAUCCGGAUUCACUGGGUGUAAAGGGCGUAGACGGAAGUGAAAGCCAGAUGUGAAAACCCGCGGCUCAACUGCGGGCCUGCAUUUGGAACUUUAUUUCUGGAGUACCGGGUGGGCAGGCGGAAUUCCUGGUGUAGCGGUGAAAUGCGUAGAUAUCAGGAGGAACACCGGUGGCGAAGGCGGCCUGCUGGACGGAUACUGACGUUGAGGCUCGAAAGCGUGGGGAGCAAACAG
RNAcentral lists this ribosomal RNA (250 nucleotides) under uncultured prokaryote. RNAcentral describes it as "partial 16S ribosomal RNA". It matches the Rfam family "Bacterial small subunit ribosomal RNA", at positions 524 to 775 of the family's 1533-position model. The record is from RNAcentral.